AUAACUGCAGACGGUGGAUCG
RNAcentral lists this ribosomal RNA (21 nucleotides) under Pseudosagitta maxima. RNAcentral's name for it is "partial 5.8S ribosomal RNA". The record is from RNAcentral. Lineage: Eukaryota; Metazoa; Chaetognatha; Sagittoidea; Aphragmophora; Sagittidae.